AUCGCUUCUUGGCCUUUUGGCUAAGAUCAAGUAUAGUGUCUGUUCUUAUCAGUUUAAUCAUAAUCCUGAACAUUUGUAUAGUAUGUUAUUAUUAGUAUUAUUAUUAUUAUUAUUAUUAUUUUGACAUGGAGUCUCACUCUGUUGCCCAGGCUGGAGUGUAAUGGAACGGCCUCAGCUCACUGCAGCCUCUGCCUC
RNAcentral lists this small nuclear RNA (195 nucleotides) under Chlorocebus sabaeus (green monkey). Its description in RNAcentral is "U2 spliceosomal RNA". It matches the Rfam family "U2 spliceosomal RNA". From Rfam's summary of the family: U2 is a small nuclear RNA (snRNA) component of the spliceosome (involved in pre-mRNA splicing). Complementary binding between U2 snRNA (in an area lying towards the 5' end but 3' to hairpin I) and the branchpoint sequence (BPS) of the intron results the bulging out of an unpaired adenosine, on the BPS, which initiates a nucleophilic attack at the intronic 5' splice site, thus starting the first of two transesterification reactions that mediate splicing. The record is from Rfam by way of RNAcentral. Lineage: Eukaryota; Metazoa; Chordata; Mammalia; Primates; Cercopithecidae.